This 870-nucleotide ribosomal RNA is filed under the name Harknessia communis. RNAcentral's name for it is "eukaryotic LSU rRNA". It matches the Rfam family "Eukaryotic large subunit ribosomal RNA", at positions 61 to 961 of the family's 3401-position model. The record is from RNAcentral. Lineage: Eukaryota; Fungi; Ascomycota; Sordariomycetes; Diaporthales; Harknessiaceae.
GAAACCAACAGGGAUUGCCCUAGUAACGGCGAGUGAAGCGGCAACAGCUCAAAUUUGAAAUCUGGCCUCGGCCCGAGUUGUAAUUUGCAGAGGAUGUUUCUGGCGCGGUGCCUUCCGAGUUCCCUGGAACGGGACGCCACAGAGGGUGAGAGCCCCGUAUGGUUGGACACCAAGCCUAUGUGAAACUCCUUCGACGAGUCGAGUAGUUUGGGAAUGCUGCUCUAAAUGGGAGGUAAAUCUCUUCUAAAGCUAAAUACCGGCCAGAGACCGAUAGCGCACAAGUAGAGUGAUCGAAAGAUGAAAAGCACCUUGAAAAGGGGGUUAAACAGUACGUGAAAUUGUUGAAAGGGAAGCGCUCAUGACCAGACUUGUGCCGGGCGGUUCAUCCGGGGUUCUCCCCGGUGCACUCCGCCCGGUUCAGGCCAGCAUCGGUUCUCGUUGGGGGAUAAGAACGGUAGGAACGUGGCCCUCCCUCGGGAGGGUGUUAUAGCCUGCCGUACGAUACCCUGAUGGGGACCGAGGUUCGCGCUCCGCAAGGAUGCUGGCGUAAUGGUCAUCAGCGACCCGUCUUGAAACACGGACCAAGGAGUCGUCCAUUAGAGCGAGCGUUUGGGUGUAAAACCCGCACGCGUAAUGAAAGUGAAAUUAGGUGAGAGCUUCGGCGCAUCAUCGACCGAUCCUGAUGUUCUCGGAUGGAUUUGAGUAAGAGUUUUAACGGACGGACCCGAAAGACAGUGAACUAUGCUUGUAUAGGGUGAAGCCAGAGGAAACUCUGGUGGAGGCUCGCAGCGGUUCUGACGUGCAAAUCGAUCGUCAAAUAUGAGCAUGGGGGCGAAAGACUAAUCGAACUGUCUAGUAGCUGGUUACCGC